RNAcentral lists this transfer RNA (72 nucleotides) under Marmota marmota marmota (Alpine marmot). It matches the Rfam family "tRNA". Rfam says of the family: Transfer RNA (tRNA) molecules are approximately 80 nucleotides in length. RNAcentral also lists the same sequence under 1 other name. The record is from Rfam by way of RNAcentral. Lineage: Eukaryota; Metazoa; Chordata; Mammalia; Rodentia; Sciuridae.
GGGGAUGUGGCUCCAUGAUAGAGCACUUGCCUGGCAUGCAUGAGGCCCUGGGUUCAAUCCCCAGGAAGCCUG